GCGGGGUUUAGUGGUAAUUUGAAGGUAACAGCAUUUAAUAAAAUUUACGGCAGGCUGAAAGGUUUGUGGGUUCAAAUCCCGCACUCCGCA
Molecule: transfer RNA, 90 nt
Filed under: Bacteroidota bacterium
Lineage: Bacteria; Pseudomonadati; Bacteroidota
Also listed under: 1 other name
Description: Bacteroidetes bacterium (activated sludge metagenome) tRNA-OTHER
Source: RNAcentral